GCGAUCAUACUAGCACUAAUGCACCUGAUCCCAUCAAAACUUUGAAGUUAAGUGUCCUUGGAUGAGACUCCAGUACUAGGAUGAGUGGUCGCCUAGGAAGUCCUUGUGUUACACCU
Molecule: ribosomal RNA, 116 nt
Filed under: Zingiber officinale
Lineage: Eukaryota; Viridiplantae; Streptophyta; Magnoliopsida; Zingiberales; Zingiberaceae
Source: RNAcentral